UACGGGGGGAGCAAGCGUUGUUCGGAUUUACUGGGCGUAAAGCGCGUGUAGGCGGCUUGGCAAGUCGGAUGUGAAAGCCCACGGCUCAACCGUGGAAGCGCAUCCGAAACUGCUUCGCUCGAGUCUCGGAGAGGAAGGUGGAAUGCUUGGUGUAGAGGUGAAAUUCGUAGAUAUCAAGCAGAACACCUGCGGCGAAGGCGGCCUUCUGGACGAUGACUGACGCUGAGACGCGAAAGCGUGGGGAGCAAACAGG
Molecule: ribosomal RNA, 253 nt
Filed under: uncultured bacterium
Lineage: Bacteria
Description: partial 16S ribosomal RNA
Rfam family: Bacterial small subunit ribosomal RNA
Source: RNAcentral